GGAGUUUUUUGGCAGUCGUAGUAGAAACACCCGCAUUUGCACGAGGGACAAGUGGAACUGCCGAAAACCUUGUCCAUGUAUAGCCGGACACAAGUCCAAAGCACCGACCAGCAACCCAGCGCCUAAAUGGCGCGACCCGUCCUACAUUUUUGCAAGUUGCCGCUCAGGGCCGAAUGGACAGGCCAGGGAUUUGAACCCGAGCCCUUUCACUUCGCAGCCACGAGUGCUAGGACCUGAUUGUGAGCUACUACGUUCGUUCCGGCCUAUAAUCUGUCAGAGGCUAACACUAGAUUUCCGGAUCGAGCAGCCCGUAGGAGUGCCGUCGUAUCAUCAGCCUGAAAGAUAUAUCAAAGACAUAAUUGUUGUUGUUGAAGGAAUUAUUACAUAUUUAUAGUUAUACUAUUUAGUAAUGUACUCAAAGAAGACUCGUCGUACGUGCCGG
Molecule: long non-coding RNA, 442 nt
Organism: Neodiprion fabricii
Lineage: Eukaryota; Metazoa; Arthropoda; Insecta; Hymenoptera; Diprionidae
Exons: 3
Source: RefSeq, a predicted model, not a curated record